This is a non-coding RNA of Podarcis lilfordi (Lilford's wall lizard), 77 nucleotides long. The record is from the annotation of a GenBank genome assembly. NCBI's taxonomy places the organism in Eukaryota, Metazoa, Chordata, Lepidosauria, Squamata, Lacertidae.
ACUUGGAUAGCUCCAUCGGUAGAGCAUGAGACUCUUAAUCUCAGGGCUGUGAGUUCGAGUCCAACUCCAACAUGGUG